ACGUACACUCCUGCGGGAGGCAGCAGUGGGGAAUAUUGCACAAUGGGCGCAAGCCUGAUGCAGCCAUGCCGCGUGUAUGAAGAAGGCCUUCGGGUUGUAAAGUACUUUCAGCGGGGAGGAAGGCGAUAAGGUUAAUAACCUUGUUGAUUGACGUUACCCGCAGAAGAAGCACCGGCUAACUCCGUGCCAGCAGCCGCGGUAAUACGGAGGGUGCAAGCGUUAAUCGGAAUUACUGGGCGUAAAGCGCACGCAGGCGGUCUGUCAAGUCGGAUGUGAAAUCCCGGGCUCAACCUGGGAACUGCAUUCGAAACUGGCAGGCUAGAGUCUUGUAGAGGGGGGUAGAAUUCCAGGUGUAGCGGUGAAAUGCGUAGAGAUCUGGAGGAAUACCGGUGGCGAAGGCGGCCCCCUGGACAAAGACUGACGCUCAGGUGCGAAAGCGUGGGGAGCAAACAGGAUUAGAUACCCGUGUAGUCCCAUGAU
This 480-nucleotide ribosomal RNA is filed under the name uncultured organism. Its description in RNAcentral is "partial 16S ribosomal RNA". It matches the Rfam family "Bacterial small subunit ribosomal RNA", at positions 329 to 801 of the family's 1533-position model. The record is from RNAcentral.